UACGAAGGGGGCUAGCGUUGCUCGGAAUUAUUGGGCGUAAAGGAUGCGUAGAUGGUGUAGUAAGUUAUCGGUGGUAAAUCGAGGCUCAACCUCGUGGAAGUCGGUAAUACUUUUAUGCUAGAGGAUAGGAGAGGUUAACGGAACUCCCUGUGGAGCGGUGAAAUGCGUAGAUAUAGGGAAGAACACCGGUGGCGAAGGCGGCGACCUGGUCCGAUACUGACGCUGAGGCGCGAAAGCUAGGGGAGCAAACAGG
Molecule: ribosomal RNA, 253 nt
Filed under: uncultured bacterium
Lineage: Bacteria
Description: partial 16S ribosomal RNA
Rfam family: Bacterial small subunit ribosomal RNA
Source: RNAcentral